GCUUUGAGCCUUAUAUGGAUAACAUACAAAAAUCCAUCUCUUUCUUUCUUGUGUGAUUCACUCAUGUCUGUUGGUCUCUAGAACUUGAAUUGACUCUUGUUGAUGUUGUUUACUUGUGAACACUGAUAUGAUAAAGGCAAUUUUGUUUUCUUUUGUUUUUUUAGCCAGUUAGCAAAAAAGUCAACCCUAAAAUAAUUGCAUCCCUUGUUUGAAACCCCCUUGAGCCUAUUAUCCUUUUUUUAUUUAAAACUCAUUACAAGCCGAGAAGUGAAAAACAAUGUUAUCACCCUAUUCAAAGGAUUGAAAGAGUCUUGUUUGGAGUUGUGUGGGGUUGAAUAAUUAUAUUUGUAAUAUUUCAGAAGUUGACCUAAAAAGAAAAAAAUAUAGAAAAGAAAAAAAAGGAAUGAAAAAAUAGAAGGAUAGGAGGAAGAAAAAAUAGAAGGAUAAGAGGAAGAAAAAAAGGAAUUAUGUUUGUAAUAUUUCAAUACAUGUCACUACAUACUCCUUCAAAAAAAAAGAAUAAAAAGAGGAAGGAGAAGAGAAAACAA
This 548-nucleotide long non-coding RNA is filed under the name Lathyrus oleraceus (garden pea). RNAcentral's name for it is "Pisum sativum (pea) long non-coding RNA (PSAT_LNC014010)". Lineage: Eukaryota; Viridiplantae; Streptophyta; Magnoliopsida; Fabales; Fabaceae. The record is from RNAcentral.